Actinomadura madurae is the source of this 69-nucleotide regulatory RNA element. It matches the Rfam family "L17-Actino-Proteobacteria ribosomal protein leader". The record is from Rfam. Lineage: Bacteria; Bacillati; Actinomycetota; Actinomycetes; Streptosporangiales; Thermomonosporaceae.
CGGCCGGGGGCACCGUUCCCCGGCCGUCCCGGAACCAGCUGACACCGGUACCUGAUACGGCCGGUGCAG